AUAGCAACCCUAACAAAAGCGUUGACCUAUUUUGUUUGCAGUAAAUGCUUUUUGUUGGGGUAGCUGUU
Molecule: non-coding RNA, 68 nt
Organism: Salmo salar (Atlantic salmon)
Lineage: Eukaryota; Metazoa; Chordata; Actinopteri; Salmoniformes; Salmonidae
Source: Rfam